CAGUAGUCACGAGUUUGAUCCUGGCUCAGGAUGAACGCUGGCGGUAUGCCUAACACAUGCAAGUCGUACGAGAGUUUUUAACUCUAGUGGCGGACGGGUGAGUAACACGUGAGAAUUUGCCUUUAGGAGGGGGACAACAAUCGGAAACGAAUGCUAAUACCCCAUAUGCUUUCGAGUGAAAUGGAUUUUAUCCGCCUAGAGAGAAGCUCGCGGCUGAUUAGCUUGUUGGUAAGGUAAGAGCUUACCAAGGCGACGAUCAGUAUCUGGUUUGAGAGGACGAUCAGACACACUGGAACUGAGACACGGUCCAGACUCCUACGGGAGGCAGCAGUGGGGAAUUUUCCGCAAUGGGCGAAAGCCUGACGGAGCAAUACCGCGUGAGGGAAGAAUGCCUAUGGGUUGUAAACCUCUUUUUUCAGGGAGGAAUCAAAUGACGUGUACCUGAAGAAUAAGCAUCGGCUAACUCCGUG
This 470-nucleotide ribosomal RNA is filed under the name uncultured bacterium. Its description in RNAcentral is "bacterial SSU rRNA". It matches the Rfam family "Bacterial small subunit ribosomal RNA", at positions 1 to 507 of the family's 1533-position model. The record is from RNAcentral.